GCAUUCAUAUACAUGUAACAUUAUUUAUAUGGCACAGACAGAUAACAACACAUCUUUUUAAUUUAGUAGUUAUUUGACUUAAUAGUGGCAACAUAUCAUAAAUGAAUCCACAGAUCUAUUUGAAUGUUAUUUAGUUCUACAUUGCAUACACAGGACAUUCUUCCCCUUUUGUCUACAGGGAGUUUGCUUGCUUGCUUGCAAACAGUUCUCACAAAUCGAUACUUAUUUUCAUUUCAAUAAGAUUCUCAUCUUGUCCACAGUAGUAACACAGUUUCAUACCCUGCUAAAAAAUAAGAAAGUUCCAUAUGCAUUUCACAGGAAAGAUUUUUUUCUCGCAUAAACUGACCUCAAAAUAUGAUUUUCAUCUGUUUCAACAUCACUAAAGUCUGAUCCAUAAGAAUAAGACAAUUCUGACAGAACAUUUUGUAAUUCUUUUCUCUUUAUACUAUCGCAUGUCAAACAUUGCAAUAUUUUAUCUUUCACAUUUGUAUUGCAUAAUUUUCCAUUUCUAUUCUAUAUUUAUGUUUCCCAAACAAAGUUUGGGAACAUAUUGUUUUUACUCUGUUUCUUAUUAAGGUCUUCCGUUUCACACAGAAGACCUUAUAGUGAUUGUACUGUUUAUUAAGGUCUUCCGUUCCAGACAGAAGACCUUAUAUUGAUUCUACUGUUUAUUAAGGUCUUCCGUUACCAACGGAAGACCUUCUAGUGAUUGUACUGUUUUUUGGGUUUUUUUCUCUCGAUUUCUCAGAGAUGGCUGGAUGGAUUUUCUUGAAAUUUUCAGGGAUAAUAGAGAAUGAAAAUACUUCGGAAAGUUUUUUCAUUUUUUUCAAAAUUCACUUCCAGUCGGCAAAUAUGGUUUAUUAGCUGUUUUCGUUGUCCAGCGUUUUUCUCCGAAACGGUAAAAGAUAGAGUCACCAAAUUUUCAGAGUUGAUAGAUCUCACUUUGUAGGCGUCCAGUUGGGAGUUCAGAAUGUUGGCCGUCACUUCCAGUCGUCACCGGAAGUGAUAAAAUGAAUCGAAAAAUUAAAGUUGUAGUUGUUGAAUCGAAACCUAUACCACUUUAUCAGGUCUCUUUUGGAGUAUUGAAAAUCGUUGACCCCACCGGAAGUCGAAACGUCCACUUCCGGUAAUUAAGGAAAAACUUUUCAAAUUCUCCUUUUUCAAUGCCUUAAAUCUCGUUUACUAAACAAGUGUUUGACUUGUAUUUAACAUAUAUUGUAGACACUAUAAAUGUAUGGAGUUACGUCAAAUAUUUUUUGAAAAUUCACUUCCGGUCGUGAGAUAGGGGGUGGACAAAGUCAAACUUUGUUUUUUCAGUUUCUCAAUAACGAAUAUAUAUAGACGCUUGAAACUUGUAAGGUUGAUCAAUUAGCAUUAGUCCAUUGUAAACAAAUUUUCAAUUUUUUCAUCCGUCACUUCCGCUCUAUACCGGAAGUAUUUGAAAAAAAUGACAAUUUUCCGAUUUCUUCGAGUGAUUUCUCAGGGAUGGCUGGAUAGAUUUUCUUGAAAUUUUCAGGAAUAAUGUCUUAUGAAAUGACUUUGCUGUGGUUAUUUUUGUUUUUCCAAAAAUCACUUCCGGUAGGAAAAUAUGGCCGAUUUUCUGUUUCUCAAACGAGAUUUUGUCCAGCAGUUUUCUUGGAAAGGGUAAAAGAGAGGUUCAUCAAAUAUUCAGGGAUGAUCAAUCUCUGUUUGUAAGCAUGCAAUAGGGUGUUGACCAUGUCGACCGUCACUUCCUGUCGUCACCGGAUGUGAUUGAAAUAAUCGUAAAUAUCAAACUUUUUCCUUUAAAUUGAAACCUAUACUACUUUAUUAAGUCUCUUUCAAAAUGUCAAAAGAAUAUUGACCCCGUCGGUAGUCAAAACGACUACUUCCAGUUUCUUGAUAAAAUACUAUUUUACUUUUCGUCUCUUCGUCCCCAUAAAUCUCGCUUAUAUUUGAAGUGUUUGAUAUGAUUUUCACAUGUCUUAAGAAUAGUAUCAACUUCUAGAGUUUUGACAAUUUUGUUUUUCAAAAUUGACUUCCGGUCGGUAGUUACCUACUACUUUUUCUUUCUUUAGUCUACUUCAUUUUGUUGAGAACUCUUUCAGAUAGAGACGUGAAAUUUUCAGGGAAUAUAGACAGUAAAGAGUCGCUGUCGUUUAUAGGAAAACACAUCUGAAUAGUAUUUCCGGUCGUCACCGGAAGUUACAAGAAAUGAGUAAACAAAUUCGAUAAUACACUUUUCAUUUAUUGUUAAAGUACAUUCUCUGAUAUAUUUAAACGGUUUUCGUAGGAUCAGAAAACUCUUUACUGGAAGUGAACAAACGGAAGACCUACUCAUUACUAGUAAUGAGUGUCUAGUUAACCCAUUUUGCACGGGAUACGACUCUAGUCGUAGUCUGCCAUUUCGUACGGGAAACGACUCCAGUGGUAGUAUACAAACACUGUUAUUCAGACGCUUAAAACAAUGUUAUAUGAAAAGUUAGAAAGAAAACGUUUGUAGGAAUCAGAUCUUGGGAAAUUUCCACUGCUCAUGCGUAUUAAAAAGUGAAACUCGAUACUUGUUUAUGGUGGGAAAUUAGAGAAGAAACAAAGAAAACGAUGUAUCAGUUAACAAAACGAAAUCAAAAUGGCGGCGAGGGAUGUAGACUUGAGCGAAGGCAGCGAUAUUGAUUCAAAUUAUGAUGAAACAAAUGAUGCAUUUGAUGGGAUUGCAGCAAAUUUUGACAGAAUAGAUCAUGAAGUUCAUUUAGAAGACAUUGAUGACUGGGUUUUGGACAUUUUUACGGAAGAUUCGGGAGAUGAAGAAGAAUUCACCGGCUUUCAAAAUCGAUGGGUGACGGAGAGUUCCCAGCCCCGUCUACCACCUCAUUGGAAUUUAUUUACUAAUUUGUGAAAAGUUUUGUUUUUUUUUUAUUUUAUGUCUGUGUUAAAUUCAUGUACUUUAUCAUGUUUAUUUGAUGGAUUUUGGACAUAUUACUUUGGAUUAUACAAAAAACUUUCAGGUAUUGUGAAGCAUGAAAAACUCUGUUUUCAAGGAAACUACCAACUGACAUUCAAAUUGCCAUAACUUCAAAUUUUCUUGAUGGAUUUUUAUUGUGUAAAGUGCAUCUGAAAGAAAAAAAGUAAAUCAUGAAAUAUAUGUAAAAAUAUUGUACUGUUUACCUUGACUUUUAUUGAGAAAAAUGCAAAUUAAUAAAUGAGAUGGAAAAUUUUAAGAAUUGUUUUUAAGUUUUCAUCAGGUUUAACCCUUCUUAAAGAUAACUAAAUGAGCAUAUACAUAUACAAAAUUUACAUUGUUGGACAGUAAAAAGUAUAAGCUUUCUGAUUAUAUAUACAGUAUAAUUUGUCCAAACCGGCCUCUGAGUACUCCGGCGCUCUGUCAAUUCCGGCCACAAAAUAUAGUCCCUAACAUUUCUUUAACAAAUCUUUUAUUAAUAAUUCCCUGUACUCCGGAUACUGCGUAUUCUGUAUAUCAGCCGGCUUACACAGUCCCAACUGCUAUUAAUUAACUUUAAUUAUCCUGUGUAAACCGGCCCCUCGAUGAUACACCACCCUAAUUGUUGCGGUCAAUUGUAUUCAGUGUACACAAGGUCACAACUGCUCAUAAUUAGCUCUAAUUAUCGCAUUUAAACCAGCCACCCCACGAUGACCAACCUGUUGGUAUUCGGUCGAUCACACGCGGUGUACACAAACGGUGUCUCAAGGGAAGCCACAGGUAAGUAAAAGAGUGUAACUGGCGAUGAGUCGCGAUCAGUUUAAAAUAAAACCUGAUUUUUAGGGGGUGCACUUUUCAAUUAUGACAGCACCACGCACGAGGUAAUGGCGCCCUCCCCCUAACGACAGAGACGAGAACUAACAUUAAAAGACAAAGUUCAAUUAAUCGAUGAAUCCGAUACAUUCUUGAAAUGAAACAAAAUCGGCAACAAUCCCGAUAUGUUUUCCAAAAGCAGGGUUUCCCCUCGUGGACUUCUCGGAGCUUUACGGCUAGUCAGACAGUGAUGAUAUGCAGUUAGUUAGCACAACUCGCCAUGUCCGGUCGAUCUUUCGGCAUUACAUUAGUUUCCGUUUCACAAAUUGAGACAGUUGAAAGCAAUACAUUUACAAUGAAAGAUGGGAAAGACAAAUUUUAAACGAACACAACACAAACUUGACGAACGUACAUAAUGUAGCACUUUCAAGAUAACGGCGAUGAUGUAGACGAAAUCGACAAUUUACCAACAGAAAAUUGCGCGAGAUUUUAAACUGUUUAAUAAAAAUUGAAACUUUUUCAAAUGAGCACAACAAUAAAACACUGACAUUUAUAUUUUUACAUUUUGAAUUCUUUUGGGAUAAAUGUAUAUUAAAACGUUAGCAAUCAUUACACACAUAUGCAUAGAUAGUGAAUACAAGGGAAGCAACUCUCAUUCUUGUCAACAUUCUGCACUCCGGACUCUGUGCAAACCGGCCAAUUUCUUUGGAACCACACAUAGCCGGUUUAGACAGAUUAUACUGUACUUUUAUAUGCAUUGGAAUAAAGAUAAGAGAAUCAUUAGCAUAAUUAUCAACAUGCAUCAGACUGCCCAGCUUAUCACAGCAGCAGGAAGCAAGCUCCUCGUUCUGGUGAUAACAGCAUCAGAGUUGGCCUCAGUGAAAAAUGGGUUAAGGUCUUCCGUUACCAACGGAAGACCUUCUAGUGAUUGUACUGUUUAUUAGGGUCUUCCGUCUUCAGCGGAAGAACCUUCUAUUAUUCUAUUGUUUCUUUUUCACUUUUCUUAUUAAGGUCUUCCGUUACCAACGGAAGACCUUCUAGUGAUUGUACUGUUUAUUAUUACUAUGUCUCUGAACACAAAGUAUCGGAGACAUAUUGUUUUUGCUCCGUUUCUUAUUAUUCUUAUCAUGUCUCCAAACACAAAGUGUCGGAGUCGGAGACAUUGUUCUUGCUCCGUUUCUUAUUAAGGUCUUCCGUUCUUCACGGAAGACCUUAUAGUGAUUCUACUGUUUCUUAUUAUUAUUAUUAAGGUAUUCCGUCCUUCACGGAAGACCUUAUAGUGAUUCUACUGUUUCUUAUUAUGUUCCCCAAACAAAGUUUGGGAACAUAUUGUUUUUACUCUGUUUCUUAUUAUUAUGUUCCCCAAACAAAGUUUGGGAACAUAUUGUUUUUACUCUGUUUCUUAUUAUUAUGUCUCCGAACACAAAGUGUCGGAGACAUAUUGUUUUUGCUCCGUUUCUUAUUAUUCUUAUUAUGUCUCCGAACACAAAGUGUCGGAGACAUAUUGUUUUUGCUCCGUUUCUUAUUAUGUCUCCGAACACAAAGUGUCGGAGACAUAUUGUUUUUGCUCCGUUUCUUAUUAGGGUCUUCCGCCUUCAGCUGAAGACCCUUCUAUUAUUCUAUUGUUUAUUUUUCACUUUUCUUAUUAUUAGGGCUUUCCACCUUUCUGUGGAAAGUCCUAUUGUUAUUGUUCUGUUUAUUAUUUUCCUGCCGUCAAAAAAAAUGUUCGUCUUAAGACUUAUCGAAAAACUUUAUAGUCCAUCAUAUAGUACUUCUUGAGAAACGAAUACAGUUCACCCAACGUAAUUGAACUUUGACCCCUUACGGAGUUAUUGGACCUUUCGCAGAAAUCAUUGUUAUCGCUUCUACUUUUUAACCGUAAAUGAUAGGAAGAUGAAACCUUUUCUAAAGAAUAGAGGGUAAUUAGUAGAAGCAAAGAAUUUCAAAUGAAGGGAUUCAGUGUCCCCUAUAGGGAGUUAAUGCCUCUUUAUGUUUUGUGAUUUAUUCGUAAAACAUGUCGAACUUCAGAACGGUUUGUCGUAGAGACAUGGGACCAACUGGAAUAGGAUACUUGACCGUUGACCUUGAACAUGAGGUCAAGGUCAACGGUCAAGGUCAUCAAAAAAGAGGAAAAAAUAGCACUUUUUAUACUCUCUUUCCUGCUUAAGAUAGCAUUGAAAUUUUAUAUGCAUAAGUAUUGACUUCUGGAUUGGUUUUGAUAGUAUGCAUUAUAACUUUGAACUUUGACCCUUCUGUGAAUUUCGGACACUCGCGUUGAAAACCUUGUUAUCGCUACUCCAACUUAAAGGAAAGUCGUAGAGACAUGAAACCUUCGCUAAUGAAUUCACAGUAAAGCCCUCUUGCAAAGAAAAAAUAAUCAAAGGGAUACGAAACCCCUUAAGCAUAGUUAUUGCCCCUGAAAGUUUCCAAUAUCAUUAUCUAAGCCUAUAACUUUUAUAUUAAUAUAGAUAGAGACAUGGGACCACUUACAUUGAGACCGAUGACCUUUGACCUUCAAAAUGAGGACAAGGUCAAGGUCAUCAUCAAAAUUAUUGUUUUUUUCAUUUUCAAGGUCUUUCAUAGUAUUUUUAGCAUUGAGAAGCUAACCGAAAGGAACCGAAAACCGCUAAACAAAGUUGUUGCCCCUGAACGCCUUGAUCAACUUUUUUAAGCUUAUAGCUUUAAUAUUAAUAUAGAUAGAGACAUGAGAUCAUUUGCAUAAAGACCCUUGACCUUUGACCUUCAAAAUGAACAAUUAGGAUUACUAGUUAUUAUUUUUAUUCUUUUUUUUUUCCUUACCGAUUUUGUGCAGAGGAUUUCUCAGAGAUGGCUGGAUCGAUUUACUUCAAAUUUUUAGGGUAGAUGCAUUGCUAUCUGAAGUUUAUAUCUUUUUUUGGAUUUUUGAAAAUUCACUUCCGGUUGGAAGUUAUCCCCCUUUUAUCGAUUUUCAGAUGACCAUUUUGUCCGGCCAAAAUCUCAAAAACGAUAAAAGCUAGAGUGCUGAAAUUUUCAGUGAUUUUAGAUGACAUGUAGUUGUGCACAUGUGUUUUAAAAAUUUCUGGAAGUGCCUAAUAUGGAAGCUCGGUAGGGGUCGAAAGUGGAGUUUAAAAAAGUGUCCAAUUUGUUUCCACGUUUUGAAUCAUAACUUUUUACUCGUAAAUAUUUUGCUUAGACAUAUAUAACAAAAAUUGUACAGUUUAUUGAGAUCUUUCGUGUCAUAUCAAGAAAUGGGCCCAUAGGCCUCAUGGCUCGCCUGAACCAUUGAAUUUCUGUUACAAUGAUUAACUUUUUUCUCACGAAACUUUUGAUAAGACAUGUAGAAUAAAAGUUGUUCAGUUUUGCAAGAUCUAUCUAAUGAUGUCAAAAAAUAGGCCUCAGGGCGUCAUGGCUCGCCUGAACAGUCGAAUUUGUAUCACAAUUAAUAACAUUAAUAACUUUUUUCUCGAGAAACUUUUGACAAGACAUGUAGAACAAAAGUUGUUCAGUUUCGCAAGCGUUAACUAACGAUGUUAAUAAAUAGGUAUGCAGGUCUCAUGGCUCACCUGAACAGUUGGAUUAUUGUUGCAAUCUAUAACAUUUUUGUCAAGAAACUUUUAAUAAGACAUCUAGAACAAAAGUUGUUCAGUUUUGCAAGAUCUUUCGAACAACAUCAUCAAAAAGGCGAACGGGCCUCAUGGCUCGCCUGAACAGUUUGAUUAGUGUCACAAUCAAUAACUUUUUUCUCGAAAAACUUUUGAUAAGACAUGCAGAACAAAAGUUGUUCAGUUUUGCAAGAUCUUUCAAACGAUAUCAAGAAAAAGGCCCACGGACCUUAUGACUCGCCUUAACAGUCUGAUAAAUGUCGCAAUCAAUAACUUUUUUCUCAAGAAAAUUUUAAUAGGCCAUGUAGAACAAAAUUUGUUCAGUUUUGCGAGAUAUAUCUAGAAUGAUAUUUUUAAAAAAGGCCUCCGGGCGACAUAACUCACCUGAUCAGUCGAAUUUAUAUCGCAGUAAAUAACAUUAUUAACUUUUUUGUCGAAAAAAAAGGCUGACCCCUUUAAUUAGUGGCCGAGAGCGGCAGAGAUUCUUUAAUUUAGAGUACUUAAAUGAUCAAUAUUUGUAAAACAUUACUGAAGCUAAAUUGUACGUCUAGACAAUAUAUUUGUAUCAUUAUUUAUGAACGAAAAUCUCGGUCAAAUUCUUAUCUCAUCACAUCUAAAAUUGGACGGAAGACCCACUCGUUGCUCGCAACGAGAUCGCAUCUAGUUCUUAUCAUUUUAUUUUUAUUUUUCCUCUUCUUUAGUGAGAAAUUUGUCCACGCGAUUAUAUGAACGUGCUUCGACAGAUCCACUUCAAACUUUCUGAGCUGAUAGGGAGUCAUAAGGAGGAGUGCAAUCAACUUUUCAAAUUUUCAAAAUGGCCGCCAUUUAAAGAUGGCGGCCAAAAAACGUCAAAAACUCAAGGUUGUCGGAUUUCAACCAAAUUCUAUUUCUAGGGUAAUUUUGUGACCCCAAGUCCAUUUCCACCACCAAAAAAAAAUUUUAAGCCACCAUUUUCAAAAUGGCCGCCAUAUACCGAAAUAUUUCAAAGUGUAAAAAUCUCUACAGAAUUUGGGUUCUGGGGUCAAUUGAGGGUCCACAUUUAUUUUCUAGCAUCAGUAUUUCCUGCCUAUCUAUUUUCAAAUGUUUCAAGAUGGCCGCCAUUGAAGAAAAUGGCGGUCGAAAAUCAAGUACUUCGGAUUUCAACCAAACUUAGUUCCUAGAGUUUUUUGAGGAUCCUGAGUGCAUAUCUGGUAUCAAAAAGCAUUUCUGACAUGGGGAGGUGUUCGGAGACAUUUGUGUUGGCAUCCCAACACAGUUAUAGCUCAUUAUUAUUAUUUUCUUCUUAUUUUUCCUCUUCUUUAGUGAGAAAUUUGUCCGACCGAUUUUAUGAACAUGCUUCGACUGAUCCACUUCAAACUUUCUGAGCUGAUAGAGGGUGCAAUCAACUUUUCAAAUUUUCAAAAUGGCCGCCGUUUCAAAAUGGCGGCCAAAAAACGUCAAAAAAUCAAGGUUGUCGGAUUUCAACCAAAUUCUAUUUCUAGGGUAUUUUGGUGACGCCGAGUCCAUUUCCACCAUCAAAAAUUUUUUUUGAGCCACCAUUUUCAAAAUGGCCGCCAUAUACUGAAAUAUUUGAAAGUGUUAAAAUCGCCCAUAUGGAAAAAUAAUACAUAAAAGUAUAUUUUUAAUAUAUUAUUAAUACAGUCAUUUUUGUACUUUUUUGAAAUAAUACAAAAAAAAUAUAUUAUUUUUGUAUCACAAAAAAAAUGGGUAACUCAUUUUUAUAUUAAAUUCUGACUUUGAUUUUUUAAAGGGUAUUAUUUUUGUAUCAUUUUGGACUUAGAUUAUUUUCAAUAUAUUAUUUUUGUAUUUUUAGGGACUUAGUUUUUUUUCAAGCAUAUUAUUUUUGUAUCAAAAUUAAACUUAGUCAUUUUCACUGUAUUAAAAUUGUAUUUUUUUAAAAACUUAGUCAUUUUUAAUCCAAAUCUUUGAAUUUAUAUGUAUUAAUUUUGUAUUAUAAUUGGACUUAAAAAAUUUCAGUGAUUUUUCACUGUAUUAUAAUUGUAUUCUUUUUUAACUUAGUCAUUUUUAAUCCAAAUCUUUGAUUUUAUAUGUAUUAAUUUUGUAUUAUAAUUGGACUUAAAAAAAUUUCCCAGUGAUUUUCAUUGUAUAAAAAUUGACUAAUUUUUAAAUUGAAAUAUAAAACUUAUAACUUGUGGAAAACAUGAUGCAAGAUUUAGCUUCUCAACUUCACAGUAAAGAUUUCAAACUUUUAAGUUUAGACAACUUUAUCAGUUGCAUGCAUAAUGAAAUAAUAAGGAAGUAUACUUCUAAAUAACACUGGAGACAUUAUUUAUUGCAUGAUAUUUCCAGGACAGUCUGUAAAAUACAGUAUAGUUUCUUUUGACUUCAUCUAGGUUUCCCAUUCUAAUAAUUGUCAUGCAGUCUAAUUCUACUGAUAACUCUUAAAUAAGCUUUUCAAUAAGAUACAAUGUACCAUUGUACCUUAUUAAUACUAUCUUCUCAUCAAAAUAACACAAUAAAAAUUGUAAUCUCUGAACUCAACAAAUUAUUUCUCCACUUUGUUUGGGUUUACUGCAAGUGGCAGUUGCUAUUGCACACACAGAAAAAUAAAUAAAGUCCUACACAUAAAUGGCUAUCAACUGUCCAGAGCUUGGUCUCAAAGAAAUAAUGUCACUGAAAAAUAUGUUGUGCAGAAUAUGAGCAUUUACACAUGUACUUCACAUUAUCUCCAUUACUUCACUAAAGCAUAGAAUGAUGGACCACAACAGUUCUCAUUACACUAUGAUGAAUGAACAAUGUUUCAAGUUUCACAAAGCACAUCUCGUCUAAAAUCAUGUCCACUAAAAUGAACCACACUACUGUCUCGCCUGAAAGUGGCUCUGCACUCCACAAAUUUUAAGGACAUUUGGUUGAUGAGCAUAGUUCGUUUGAAAAACCAUCACUGAAUCCACAAUAGGCAGAAUAUGGUAAGCACCUAUUACAGAUACUUUAUCAUUUUACACUGUCUUGUUGACUGAUGUUUCUUCUCCAUCUGACAUUCCCUUGAAAAUUUCUUGCUCGCAACUUCCAUAAUUUAAAGUUUGUGUCAUCUUCUGGAGGAAUUGAUUGGCAUAAGACAUGUCAGAUACCUGAAAAUGAAACACAAGAAAUCAACUGAAAUUGAACAUUUUCUCUGCAAUUUUAAUUUUCAAAAAAAAAUAUUUCAUUUUCAAAAAUAAAUGAGGGCAUGAACUUUACUUGUUACUGUUUUAUACCAGCAUGCUUUAUGAAGCGUGUUAGCACUUCAACAAAAGUAUGCUGAUGUGCAGCAUUGUUGUUCAUACAAUUCAUUCUAAAGAUGUCUGACACUUUGAUCUACAGGUUCACAGAGUUAAUUUUGUUUUUUUAAAUUCAACCGCAGGGGCAUAUAUAAAAAUAUAUCUUCAAUGUUCUCUAAUGAAAGAAUUUUUUUUUUAAAACUGUAACACAGGCACCUGAAAUUUUAUCCUUAAGUUACAAAUAAUGCCAUAGAUUGAAAAAACAUAUAUCACACCCCUCCCUAUAAAUGAAUACAUGCAACUUACUGUUAAAAUUUUAGGUGUCUGUGAUUGUAACAUGCUUAUUAUUAUUUUUUGUGGACAUACUCUAUCAACAGUUACUUGGGUUUAUUAAAGGUCAUAAAUUGAAUAUUUCAUGUUAAAGAAUUGAAUUACGUUUACCGUCAUUACUUUCUGCAAUGCUGCAUCCUGGUAUUAUUCAAUCAACAUCAUUGUCGUCUUCAAAGUCAGUCUGCUUCCUUAAACUUCAAAGUUAGAUAGGCUAUGCUAUAUCUCCCGGAUUUUUAGGAUUAUCUGACAAGGAAUAGUCGGCAGUUGGGAAAACCUAUGAUAGAAUUGGUCACAUGAAAACAAAAACAACUAAAAUUUAUGAACUUAAACAACGAUAUAUUAUUUCACAUUGAUCAUCAUCGGGCAACUAUCAGGUGCGAUUUUACCACAAGUCACUUUGAAAAAUAAAUAUCUAUUUCUCAAAUACGCAAUUAUAGGAUUUAUCAAAUAAUAAUAUUAAAGAAAACGAAUAAGAAAAAUGCAUACCGAUUGUGAAAACAACGUGCAAGUUCAUCGGCACGGGCGCGCCAUUACCACUCGACCUCGUGGCUUUUCAAGUUUGGUAGGACUGCUUCUUCCAGUGUUAUACACGUCGCAUACCCCAUAAGAAUACUCUAGGAGCCUUUAACAAGUUGUCCACAAAAUAGAUUGCAUAUUCUCCACGUGUUUCUCCCAUUGUUUUGCUUUCCUUUCCUCACAAUGUUCACAGAUCGACGAUUUCAAAAUAUGGAAGCGGAAGUGACUGUAGAUAGAGUUCGGGUGACUCCGUAAUCAAUUUUAAAUUAUUACAAUCUUAGUAUUUGUUUUAAAAAAACAGCUAUGAAUUAUGAAUUAGUUUCUAAUAGCAGAAAAUUUAAACAAACGAGAUAAUAACAGCAUAUUUACGAAAGAUAAAUACAAGACUAGAAUUUUCGGCCGUCUUCGUACUUUCACGCGAUUGGUCAAAGUUCCAAAAUCUGUAGCUCUCAAAUUUGAUUGGUUGAAUGUGUGACGCUGCCAUUUUCAAAGUGAUUAGACUGUCGCAAUAUUUCGGAGGUUAUUUUGCAUAAAUUGCUAAAUAUUCCGUGGUUGAGUGGAAUGAGGACCGGAGUCCAGAAUCACGGAAUAUAUAAGGAAGGUGACAUCCUGCAAGAACGGCAUGUCCAGACGUUUUGGGCCGGGUGUACGUAAAGUUCUUGUGAUCAUCACAACAUGAUUAUGCAGUGGUCAAGGCUGAUGACAAGUGGUGUGACUUGAAGAUAGCCCUUAGGAACAAAGUUAGUGCACUUUGCAACGCAGAAGAAACGGCAGAAGCAGAGGGAGGAUGAGUCUCAAGACUGAUGUGUUAUGAAGAUCAUGGACAGACUAGAUAUGAAUACCAUAUAAGGUCACAGACAGACUAGAUAUGUAUACCAUAUAAGAUCAUGGGCAGACUAGAUAUGUACAUACCAUAUCAUCAGCUCACUGACAGACUAGAUAUGUAUGUACCAUAUAACAUCAUGGACAGGCUAGAUAUGUAUAAAAUACUGAUUAAACAUCUAGCAAUUUAUUGAAUCUUGUACAAUGAAAAUGACAACAAUUUGUUAUUAUUUAUUAUAUUUAUGAUAAUAUAGCCCAAAGUAUUUAAUAGUCGCUUUUUAAAUCUCUGCAAUAGUAGCCAAUGCGACAUGGGAUAUUAUGUUUACUGUAACAAUGGUUUUAACUUUUAAUAGUAGCUGAAUUAGUAGCCAAUGCAUGUCUUUUUAUGCCCCGAG
Long non-coding RNA from Ostrea edulis (European flat oyster), 12592 nucleotides. RefSeq lists it as uncharacterized. The record is from RefSeq and is a predicted model, not a curated record. The transcript has 3 exons. Lineage: Eukaryota; Metazoa; Mollusca; Bivalvia; Ostreida; Ostreidae.